AGUUUGAUCCUGGCUCAGGAUGAACGCUGGCGGCGUGCCUAAUACAUGCAAGUCGAACGAAUCUUCUUCGGAAGAUGAGUGGCGAACGGGUGAGUAAUACAUAGGUAACCUGCCCCUGUGCGGGGGAUAACAGGAGGAAACUCCUGCUAAUACCGCAUAGCCAUGAGCACCGCAUGGAGCUCAUGCCAAAUAUCCUUCAGGGGAUAGCGCAGGGAUGGACCUAUGGCGCAUUAGCUAGUUGGCGGGGCAACGGCCCACCAAGGCAACGAUGCGUAGCCGGCCUGAGAGGGCGGACGGCCACAUUGGGACUGAGACACGGCCCAGACUCCUACGGGAGGCAGCAGUAGGGAAUUUUCGGCAAUGGGGGAAACCCUGACCGAGCAACGCCGCGUGAGCGAAGAAGGCCUUCGGGUCGUAAAGCUCUGUUGUAAAGGAAGAACGUCGCAUGCAGGAAAUGGUGUGCGAGUGACGGUACUUUACCAGAAAGCCACGGCUAACUACGUGCCAGCAGCCGCGGUAAUACGUAGGUGGCGAGCGUUAUCCGGAAUCAUUGGGCGUAAAGAGGGAGCAGGCGGCCGCAAGGGUCUGUGGUGAAAGACCGAAGCUAAACUUCGGUAAGCCAUGGAAACCGGGCGGCUAGAGUGCGGAAGAGGAUCGUGGAAUUCCAUGUGUAGCAGUGAAAUGCGUAGAUAUAUGGAGGAACACCAGUGGCGAAGGCGACGGUCUGGGCCGCAACUGACGCUCAUUCCCGAAAGCGUGGGGAGCAAAUAGGAUUAGAUACCCUAGUAGUCCACGCCGUAAACGAUGGUCACUAAGUGUCGGGGGUCAAACCCCGGUGCUGCAGUCAACGCAAUAAGUGACCCGCCUGAGUAGUACGUUCGCAAGAAUGAAACUCAAAGGAAUUGACGGA
RNAcentral lists this ribosomal RNA (910 nucleotides) under uncultured bacterium. RNAcentral's name for it is "bacterial SSU rRNA". It matches the Rfam family "Bacterial small subunit ribosomal RNA", at positions 10 to 917 of the family's 1533-position model. The record is from RNAcentral.